UACGGGGGGAGCAAGCGUUGUUCGGAUUUACUGGGCGUAAAGGGCGCGUAGGCGGUCGUGACAAGUCACUUGUGAAAUCCCCGGGCUCAACCCGGGAACUGCGUCCGAUACUGGUUGGCUUGAAUCCGGGAGAGGGAUGCGGAAUUCCAGGUGUAGCGGUGAAAUGCGUAGAUAUCUGGAGGAACACCGGUGGCGAAGGCGGCAUCCUGGACCGGCAUUGACGCUGAGGCGCGAAAGCCAGGGGAGCAAACGGG
Molecule: ribosomal RNA, 254 nt
Filed under: uncultured bacterium
Lineage: Bacteria
Description: partial 16S ribosomal RNA
Rfam family: Bacterial small subunit ribosomal RNA
Source: RNAcentral